RNAcentral lists this ribosomal RNA (1223 nucleotides) under metagenome. RNAcentral's name for it is "bacterial SSU rRNA". It matches the Rfam family "Bacterial small subunit ribosomal RNA", at positions 197 to 1440 of the family's 1533-position model. The record is from RNAcentral.
GAGGUGAAAGGUUAACUGCCUGAAGAGGAGCUCGCGUCUGAUUAGCUAGUUGGUGGGGUAAAAGCCUACCAAGGCGACGAUCGGUAGCUGGUCUGAGAGGAUGAUCAGCCACACUGGGACUGAGACACGGCCCAGACUCCUACGGGAGGCAGCAGUGGGGAAUUUUCCGCAAUGGGCGAAAGCCUGACGGAGCAAUACCGCGUGAGGGAGGAAGGCUCUUGGGUUGUAAACCUCUUUUGUCAGGGAAGAUGAUGAAGGUACCUGAGGAAUAAGCAUCGGCUAACUCCGUGCCAGCAGCCGCGGUAAUACGGAGGAUGCAAGCGUUAUCCGGAAUGAUUGGGCGUAAAGCGUCCGCAGGUGGCUAUGUAAGUCUGCUGUUAAAGAGCAAGGCUCAACCUUGUAAAGGCAGUGGAAACUACAUAGCUAGAGUGCGUUCGGGGCAGAGGGAAUUCCUGGUGUAGCGGUGAAAUGCGUAGAUAUCAGGAAGAACACCAGUGGCGAAAGCGCUCUGCUAGGCCGCAACUGACACUGAGGGACGAAAGCUAGGGGAGCGAAUGGGAUUAGAUACCCCAGUAGUCCUAGCCGUAAACGAUGGAUACUAGGCGUUGCUUGUAUCGACCCGAGCAGUGCCGUAGCUAACGCGUUAAGUAUCCCGCCUGGGGAGUACGCACGCAAGUGUGAAACUCAAAGGAAUUGACGGGGGCCCGCACAAGCGGUGGAGUAUGUGGUUUAAUUCGAUGCAACGCGAAUAACCUUACCAAGGCUUGACAUGUCGCGAAUCCCUUUGAAAGGAGGGAGUGCCUUCGGGAGCGCGAACACAGGUGGUGCAUGGCUGUCGUCGGCUCGUGUCGUGAGAUGUUGGGUUAAGUCCCGCAACGAGCGCAACCCUCGUUUUUAGUUGCCAGCACUUCGGGUGGGCACUCUAGAGAGACUGCCGGUGACAAACCGGAGGAAGGUGGGGAUGACGUCAAGUCAGCAUGCCCCUUACGCCUUGGGCUACACACGUACUACAAUGCUACGGACAGAGGGCAGCAAGCUAGCGAUAGCAAGCUAAUCCCGGAAACCGUAGCUCAGUUCAGAUCGCAGGCUGCAACUCGCCUGCGUGAAGGAGGAAUCGCUAGUAAUUGCAGGUCAGCAUACUGCAGUGAAUUCGUUCCCGGGCCUUGUACACACCGCCCGUCACACCAUGGAAGCUGGUCACGCCCGAAGUCGUUACCCCAACC